GUUAAGCGACUAAGCGUACACGGUGGAUGCCCUGGCAGUCAGAGGCGAUGAAGGGCGUGCUAAUCUGCGAUAAGCGCCGGUAAGGUGAUAUGAACCGUUAUAACCGGCGAUACCCGAAUGGGGAAACCCAGUGUGACUCGUCACACUAUCAUUAACUGAAUCCAUAGGUUAAUGAGGCGAACCGGGGGAACUGAAACAUCUAAGUACCCCGAGGAAAAGAAAUCAACCGAGAUUCCCCCAGUAGCGGCGAGCGAACGGGGAGGAGCCCAGAGCCUGAAUCAGCAUGUGUGUUAGUGGAAGCGUCUGGAAAGGCGCGCGAUACAGGGUGACAGCCCCGUACACAAAAGCGCAUGUGCUGUGAGCUCGAUGAGUAGGGCGGGACACGUGGUAUCCUGUCUGAAUAUGGGGGGACCAUCCUCCAAGGCUAAAUACUCCUGACUGACCGAUAGUGAACCAGUACCGUGAGGGAAAGGCGAAAAGAACCCCGGCGAGGGGAGUGAAAAAGAACCUGAAACCGUGUACGUACAAGCAGUGGGAGCACCCUUUGGGGUGUGACUGCGUACCUUUUGUAUAAUGGGUCAGCGACUUAUAUUCUGUAGCAAGGUUAACCGAAUAGGGGAGC
This 622-nucleotide ribosomal RNA is filed under the name Salmonella enterica subsp. enterica serovar Tanger. Its description in RNAcentral is "partial 23S ribosomal RNA". It matches the Rfam family "Bacterial large subunit ribosomal RNA", at positions 1 to 666 of the family's 2925-position model. The record is from RNAcentral. Lineage: Bacteria; Pseudomonadati; Pseudomonadota; Gammaproteobacteria; Enterobacterales; Enterobacteriaceae.